This 28-nucleotide non-coding RNA is filed under the name Rattus norvegicus (Norway rat). The record is from RNAcentral. Lineage: Eukaryota; Metazoa; Chordata; Mammalia; Rodentia; Muridae.
UCAAAACAGAUUUUGUGGGACUCCAAGA